UUAAGCGACUAAGCGUACACGGUGGAUGCCUAGGCAGUCAGAGGCGAUGAAGGGCGUGCUAAUCUGCGAAAAGCGUCGGUAAGGUGAUAUGAACCGUUACAACCGACGAUACCCGAAUGGGGAAACCCAGUGCAAUUCGUUGCACUAUUGCAUGGUGAAUACAUAGCCAUGCAAGGCGAACCGGGGGAACUGAAACAUCUAAGUACCCCGAGGAAAAGAAAUCAACCGAGAUUCCCCCAGUAGCGGCGAGCGAACGGGGAGGAGCCCAGAACCUGAAUCAGCAUAUGUGUUAGUGGAAGCGUCUGGAAAGUCGCACGGUACAGGGUGAUAGUCCCGUACACAAAAAUGCAUAUGUUGUGAGUUCGAUGAGUAGGGCGGGACACGUGACAUCCUGUCUGAAUAUGGGGGGACCAUCCUCCAAGGCUAAAUACUCCUGACUGACCGAUAGUGAACCAGUACCGUGAGGGAAAGGCGAAAAGAACCCCGGCGAGGGGAGUGAAAUAGAACCUGAAACCGUGUACGUACAAGCAGUGGGAGCACCUUCGUGGUGUGACUGCGUACCUUUUGUAUAAUGGGUCAGCGACUUAUAUUUUGUAGCAAGGUUAACCGAAUAGGGGAGCCGUAGGGAAACCGAGUCUUAACUGGGCGAAUAGUUGCAAGGUAUAGACCCGAAACCCGGUGAUCUAGCCAUGGGCAGGUUGAAGGUUGGGUAACACUAACUGGAGGACCGAACCGACUAAUGUUGAAAAAUUAGCGGAUGACUUGUGGCUGGGGGUGAAAGGCCAAUCAAACCGGGAGAUAGCUGGUUCUCCCCGAAAGCUAUUUAGGUAGCGCCUCGUGAACUCAUCUUCGGGGGUAGAGCACUGUUUCGGCUAGGGGGUCAUCCCGACUUACCAAACCGAUGCAAACUCCGAAUACCGAAGAAUGUUAUCACGGGAGACACACGGCGGGUGCUAACGUCCGUCGUGAAGAGGGAAACAACCCAGACCGCCAGCUAAGGUCCCAAAGUCAUGGUUAAGUGGGAAACGAUGUGGGAAGGCAUAGACAGCCAGGAUGUUGGCUUAGAAGCAGCCAUCAUUUAAAGAAAGCGUAAUAGCUCACUGGUCGAGUCGGCCUGCGCGGAAGAUGUAACGGGGCUAAACCAUGCACCGAAGCUGCGGCAGCGACGCUUAGGCGUUGUUGGGUAGGGGAGCGUUCUGUAAGCCGUUGAAGGUGACCUGUGAGGGUUGCUGGAGGUAUCAGAAGUGCGAAUGCUGACAUAAGUAACGAUAAUGCGGGUGAAAAACCCGCACGCCGGAAGACCAAGGGUUCCUGUCCAACGUUAAUCGGGGCAGGGUGAGUCGACCCCUAAGGCGAGGCUGAAAAGCGUAGUCGAUGGGAAACAGGUUAAUAUUCCUGUACUUGGUGUUACUGCGAAGGGGGGACGGAGAAGGCUAGGCUAGCCGGGCGACGGUUGUCCCGGUUUAAGCAUGUAGGCGGAGUGACUUGGUAAAUCCGGUUGCUUAUCAACGCUGAGGUGUGAUGACGAGCCACUACGGUGGUGAAGUAGUUGAUGCCAAGCUUCCAGGAAAAGCCUCUAAGCAUCAGGUAACAUUAAAUCGUACCCCAAACCGACACAGGUGGUCAGGUAGAGAAUACUCAGGCGCUUGAGAGAACUCGGGUGAAGGAACUAGGCAAAAUGGUGCCGUAACUUCGGGAGAAGGCACGCUGGCAUUAGGUAAAGGGACUUGCUCCCGGCGCCGAAGCCAGUCGCAGAUACCAGCUGGCUGCAACUGUUUAAUAAAAACACAGCACUGUGCAAACACGAAAGUGGACGUAUACGGUGUGACGCCUGCCCGGUGCUGGAAGGUUAAUUGAUGGGGUCAGCCGCAAGGCGAAGCUCUUGAUCGAAGCCCCAGUAAACGGCGGCCGUAACUAUAACGGUCCUAAGGUAGCGAAAUUCCUUGUCGGGUAAGUUCCGACCUGCACGAAUGGCGUAAUGAUGGCCAGGCUGUCUCCACCCGAGACUCAGUGAAAUUGAACUCGCUGUGAAGAUGCAGUGUACCCGCGGCAAGACGGAAAGACCCCGUGAACCUUUACUAUAGCUUGACACUGAACAUUGAGCCUUGAUGUGUAGGAUAGGUGGGAGGCAUUGAAGUGUGGACGCCAGUCUGCAUGGAGCCAACCUUGAAAUACCACCCUUUAAUGUUUGAUGUUCUAACUCGGCCCCAUAAUCUGGGGUGAGGACAGUGUCUGGUGGGUAGUUUGACUGGGGCGGUCUCCUCCCAAAGAGUAACGGAGGAGCACGAAGGUUAGCUAAUCACGGUCGGACAUCGUGAGGUUAGUGCAAAGGCAUAAGCUAGCUUGACUGCGAGAGUGACGGCUCGAGCAGGUACGAAAGUAGGUCUUAGUGAUCCGGUGGUUCUGAAUGGAAGGGCCAUCGCUCAACGGAUAAAAGGUACUCCGGGGAUAACAGGCUGAUACCGCCCAAGAGUUCAUAUCGACGGCGGUGUUUGGCACCUCGAUGUCGGCUCAUCACAUCCUGGGGCUGAAGUAGGUCCCAAGGGUAUGGCUGUUCGCCAUUUAAAGUGGUACGCGAGCUGGGUUUAGAACGUCGUGAGACAGUUCGGUCCCUAUCUGCCGUGGGCGUUGGAAGAUUGAGAGGGGCUGCUCCUAGUACGAGAGGACCGGAGUGGACGAAUCACUGGUGUUCGGGUUGUCAUGCCAAUGGCAUUGCCCGGUAGCUAAAUUCGGAAGAGAUAACCGCUGAAAGCAUCUAAGCGGGAAACUUGCCUCGAGAUGAGUCUUCCCUGGGGCUUUAAGCCCCCUGAAGGAACGUUAAAGACUAUGACGUUGAUAGGCUGGGUGUGUAAGUGCAGCGAUGCAUUGAGCUAACCAGUACUAAUGAUCCGUGAGGCUUAACCUU
This 2905-nucleotide ribosomal RNA is filed under the name Yersinia enterocolitica. RNAcentral's name for it is "bacterial LSU rRNA". It matches the Rfam family "Bacterial large subunit ribosomal RNA". The record is from RNAcentral. Lineage: Bacteria; Pseudomonadati; Pseudomonadota; Gammaproteobacteria; Enterobacterales; Yersiniaceae.